This 253-nucleotide ribosomal RNA is filed under the name bacterium. Its description in RNAcentral is "partial 16S ribosomal RNA". It matches the Rfam family "Bacterial small subunit ribosomal RNA", at positions 524 to 776 of the family's 1533-position model. The record is from RNAcentral. RNAcentral also lists the same sequence under 2 other names.
UACGAAGGGGGCUAGCGUUGUUCGGAUUUACUGGGCGUAAAGCGCACGUAGGCGGACUAUUAAGUCAGGGGUGAAAUCCCGGGGCUCAACCCCGGAACUGCCUUUGAUACUGGUAGUCUCGAGUCCGGAAGAGGUGAGUGGAAUUCCGAGUGUAGAGGUGAAAUUCGUAGAUAUUCGGAGGAACACCAGUGGCGAAGGCGGCUCACUGGUCCGGUACUGACGCUGAGGUGCGAAAGCGUGGGGAGCAAACAGG